Molecule: ribosomal RNA, 1454 nt
Filed under: uncultured bacterium
Lineage: Bacteria
Description: bacterial SSU rRNA
Rfam family: Bacterial small subunit ribosomal RNA
Source: RNAcentral
AUUGAACGCUGGCGGCAUGCUUUACACAUGCAAGUCGAACGGCAGCACGGACUUCGGUCUGGUGGCGAGUGGCGAACGGGUGAGUAAUACAUCGGAACGUACCCAGUAAUGGGGGAUAACUAGUCGAAAGAUUAGCUAAUACCGCAUACGCCCUACGGGGGAAAGAGGGGGAUCGCAAGACCUCUUGUUAUUGGAGCGGCCGAUGGCUGAUUAGCUAGUUGGUGGGGUAAAGGCCUACCAAGGCGACGAUCAGUAGCGGGUCUUAGAGGACGAUCCGCCACACUGGAACUGAGACACGGUCCAGACUCCUACGGGAGGCAGCAGUGGGGAAUCUUGGACAAUGGGCGAAAGCCUGAUCCAGCAAUGCCGCGUGCGUGAAGAAGGCCUUCGGGUUGUAAAGCGCUUUUGUCUGGGAGCAAAUCCUUGUGGCUAAUACCCACCGGGGAUGAGAGUACCAGAAGAAUAAGGACCGGCUAACUACGUGCCAGCAGCCGCGGUAAUACGUAGGGUCCAAGCGUUAAUCGGAAUUACUGGGCGUAAAGCGUGCGCAGGUGGUUUGUUAAGCGCGAUGUGAAAUCCCCGAGCUCAACUUGGGAAUUGCAUUGCGAACUGACUGACUAGAGUACGGCAGAGGGGGGUGGAAUUCCACGUGUAGCAGUGAAAUGCGUAGAGAUGUGGAGGAACACCGAUGGCGAAGGCAACCCCCUGGGCUGAUACUGACACUCAUGCACGAAAGCGUGGGGAGCAAACAGGAUUAGAUACCCUGGUAGUCCACGCCCUAAACGAUGUCUACUAAUUGUUUGGGCUUUUCGGAGCUUAGUAACGCAGCUAACGCGUGAAGUAGACCGCCUGGGGAGUACGGUCGCAAGACUAAAACUCAAAGGAAUUGACGGGGGCCCGCACAAGCGGUGGAUGAUGUGGAUUAAUUCGAUGCAACGCGAAAAACCUUACCUGGUCUUGACAUGUACGGAAUCCUCCAGAGACGGAGGAGUGCCUUCGGGAGCCGUAACACAGGUGCUGCAUGGCUGUCGUCAGCUCGUGUCGUGAGAUGUUGGGUUAAGUCCUGCAACGAGCGCAACCCUUGCCAUUAGUUGCUACCAUUUAGUUGAGCAGUUUAAUGGGACUGCCGGUGACAAACCGGAGGAAGGUGGGGAUGACGUCAAGUCCUCAUGGCCCUUAUGACCAGGGCUUCACACGUCAUACAAUGGUCGGUACAGAGGGUCGCUAACCCGCGAGGGGGUGCCAAUAUCACAAAACCGAUCGCAGUCCGGAUUGCACUCUGCAACUCGAGUGCAUGAAGUCGGAAUCGCUAGUAAUAUCGGGUCAGCAUGCCGCGGUGAGUACGUUCCCGGGCCUUGUACACACCGCCCGUCACACCAUGGGAGUGGGUUUCACCAGAAGUAGGUAGGCUAACCGUAAGGAGACCGCUUUCCACGGUGGGAUUCAUGACUGGG